AUAAAAAACAUUGAAAAACGAGUAGGCUUAUGAAAGUUUCUAGAGAGUAAGCGUUUGGUGGAAGCUUAUAACGGCAGUAAGUUCGAAAAUCAUUUUCUUGAUUGCAAGGCUGAAGCGUAGUAAGCCUUGUCGCAGUGGUGUGCGUUAUCCUCCCCCGGCAUUGUUGGAUGCUCGAGCGCUUAUUUCGGUAAGAAUAAAGGUGGUACCGCGGACUAUUUCGCCCUUUGU
Molecule: non-coding RNA, 228 nt
Filed under: Aerococcus sanguinicola
Lineage: Bacteria; Bacillati; Bacillota; Bacilli; Lactobacillales; Aerococcaceae
Description: T-box sequence
Rfam family: T-box leader
About the family: Uncharged tRNA acts as the effector for transcription antitermination of genes in the T-box leader family. T-boxes are found upstream of many aminoacyl-tRNA synthetase genes and some amino acid biosynthetic genes usually in Gram-positive bacteria. The anticodon of a specific tRNA base pairs to a specifier sequence within the T-box motif, and the NCCA acceptor tail of the tRNA base pairs to a conserved bulge in the T-box antiterminator hairpin.
Source: RNAcentral